Molecule: long non-coding RNA, 934 nt
Filed under: Helianthus annuus (common sunflower)
Lineage: Eukaryota; Viridiplantae; Streptophyta; Magnoliopsida; Asterales; Asteraceae
Description: hypothetical non coding rna
Source: RNAcentral
UGACUUUUUUUUGUUAUGGCGUUUUAACUGGGAGCUCUGUGUGUCUUCUUUGGAGUAUGAAUUCUUUUAUUUCCAACCACAUUCCCCCAAAGUUGCGUGUAUGAUGAAACUAAUUAAAUACUUGUGUUCACACUUGUUUACACUUGUUCACACUAUAGUUACACUUUGGACACUGAAAAUAUAGUUUUUUUUUUGUUAUGACGUUUUAACUAGGAGCUGGCUCAAAAAAAUGGUUUUUUAGCUGUUGUAAUUUAUAGUUCAAAAAAUAGCUUUUUUUAUGGCGUUCAAAAAAAUGUUUUUUUUAGCUGUUGUAAAUUAUAGAUAAAAAAAUAGCUUUUGAGUGUUUUAUGGAGUUCAAAAAAAUGGUUUUUUUGAGCUGUUGUAAAUUAUAGCUUAAAAAAUAGCUUUUGAGUGUUUGGCGUUUUUCUGAAUUGGGUGUUGUUAUGGCGUUUUAUUUUGAACACCCAGUUCAUCUGAGUAAGUUUUUUGACAAUAUUACCCAUUAGUGUAAUUUAACAUCAAUGUCACAUGUCACCACCAAAAUCGUUCUCACCGUUCUCACACUUUUCACCGUUCUCUCUAAUUUAAUGAAUCCAAACGGUCAAAUUCAAAUUUUCAUAUCUCACAACGGUUCAAAAAUAACGUUUCUCCACGCGUGAUCACGAACACGUUUAACUUGCAUCACGCGUGAUACACGGCACCAACGGUGGUGUAUCACGGUGUUCGACUCGUUAUGUGUUGCUCAUAACGUGGCGCCCGGCUCUAAAAAAAUGUGUGGUCCGCUCUAAAAAGAUGUGUGGUAAAAUGAAUAGUGCGAGGUAGUUUGAACUUUCGGAAAGAGAGACACAUAGUUUGACUUUUGACUGUUGCCGUUGUUGAAUAUUCAAAUUCAUUCAAAUACAAUUUUAAAUUUGAACUAGUUUCCUAGAAUGCG